Equus quagga is the source of this 1211-nucleotide long non-coding RNA. RefSeq lists it as uncharacterized. The transcript has 3 exons. Lineage: Eukaryota; Metazoa; Chordata; Mammalia; Perissodactyla; Equidae. The record is from RefSeq and is a predicted model, not a curated record.
UCCAACAAUCUGGGUUUGCAUCCUGGCUUAACACUUAGGAGCUGAGUGACUCCAGGCAAGCUACCUCACCUGCCUGAGUCUCCAUCUUCUCAUCUGCUAGACAGAAUAGUAAUAAUACAUGGUGAGAAUUCAGUGAAAUGAUGCAUGACCCUAAGGCAUCUAACAAGGAGCCUGGGACCUAGCAAAUGACCAAUACAUUUUAUUAAUGUAAUUAAUGUAAUGCAAUCAGUAAUGUGUUUAUAAUUAACGAUAUUAGUCAUGGCUCUGCCACUUCCUUGCUGUGUGACCUUGAGCAAGUUGCUUUGCCUCUCAGAGACCCAAUGUCAUGGACUGUAAAAUCGGGGUGUAAUACCUUCUUCUUGGGAUUGAAGGAGACAACCCAGGCGAAACAUCCAGCUCAGGGCUGGGCCACAGAGGUGUUCAGUUAGUGCCAGCUCCCUUUCCCCUUGCAAAUGCCGACUAGCCUCUAUCGGGUAAAGCCUGCUGCUUCCAUUUCCCCUAUCAGCAUCCCUUUCAUGCAGAAUUCUCAAAAGGCAGAGACAGACUUUGUGGAAAUUGAUUCCAGGGGCAGAGCCCAUGCAGCAGGUACAAUACUCUGAGAAGUUCUGCAUCCCCGGAGACAGCGGCUGUGUGAAGGAGACACCGGAGACCUCGCUCUCCCCACUGAGGCUUUUCACCAGGAACAAAGCCAAAAAGGCUGCUCUAAAAGGGUGCUGAUGGCCUGUCUGGAGGCAAGAAAUGAACCAAAUAAGCCUUCUGAGCCUGGGGCUAUGUCUGGAAGAGCUUGGUCCUGGUAGCUUUUCAACUAAGAAAAUGAGGGCUCUCAGCCAGGAGGAAAGACUUGUCCUGAAACUAUGAAUCCAGGCAACACAGAGGUCACAGAUGCCACUCCUCUCCCCACCCCAGGGGACUCAGUGUCUCCAGGAGCAUUCCCUGGUCUCAGGGCACUGGGUUCUGGCCAAGGGAGAGCCCGGAGAUGUGCACACCUCACAGUCCAGGGUAGGAGGCAGAAUCUCUGAAUCGCUUUAUUGAUGCCCCGGGAAUUGACGCGAGAGUCCUAAAGGAUCCUGCCCCACAAAAUCGUCCUCUGAAAUGUAUGUAGGCUCUCUUACCCUUAUGUUCUAACCCUUGAAUGUAUUAAGCAGUUUGAAAUGCAAAUAGAUUGGGUUUUUGUAAGUGGAUUUGAAGGUGUCUUUUUCACGUCUAUUACC